RNAcentral lists this ribosomal RNA (492 nucleotides) under uncultured bacterium. RNAcentral's name for it is "partial 16S ribosomal RNA". It matches the Rfam family "Bacterial small subunit ribosomal RNA", at positions 29 to 507 of the family's 1533-position model. The record is from RNAcentral.
AGUGAACGCUGGCGGUAGGCCUAACACAUGCAAGUCGAACGGAAGCACAGUAAGAGCUUGCUCUUACGGGUGGCGAGUGGCGGACGGGUGAGGAAUACAUCGGAUUCUACUAUUUCGGGGGGGAUAACGUAGGGAAACUUACGCUAAUACCGCAUACGAUGUACGGCUGGAAUCAAGGGAUCUUCGGACCUUGCGCGAUUCAAUGAGCUGGUGCCGGAUUAGCUAGUUGGCUGGGUAAAGGCCCACCAAGGCGACGAUCCGUAGCUGGUCUGAGAGGAUGAUCAGCCACACUGGAACUGAGACACGGUCCAGACUCCUACGGGAGGCAGCAGUGGGGAAUAUUGGACAAUGGGCGCAAGCCUGAUCCAGCCAUACCGCGUGGGUGAAGAAGGCCUUCGGGUUGUAAAGCCCUUUUGUUGGGAAAGAAAAGCAGCAGGUGAAUACCCCGCUGUUCUGACGGUACCCAAAGAAUAAGCACCGGCUAACUUCGUG